Podarcis lilfordi (Lilford's wall lizard) is the source of this 75-nucleotide non-coding RNA. The record is from the annotation of a GenBank genome assembly. Lineage: Eukaryota; Metazoa; Chordata; Lepidosauria; Squamata; Lacertidae.
GGCCUGGAUAGCUCUGUUGGUUAGAGCGUGGCGCUAUUAAUUUCAAGGUUGCAGGUUCGAUCCCUGUAUGGGUCA